CCUACGGGAGGCAGCAGUGAGGAAUAUUGGUCAAUGGACGAGAGUCUGAACCAGCCAAGUAGCGUGAAGGAUGACUGCCCUAUGGGUUGUAAACUUCUUUUAUAAAGGAAUAAAACGAGGCACGUGUGCCUUUUUGCAUGUACGUUAUGAAUAAGGAUCGGCUAACUCCGUGCCAGCAGCCGCGGUAAUACGGAGGAGCCGAGCGUUAUCCGGAUUUAUUGGGUUUACAGGGAGCGUAGAUGGGUUGUUAAGUCAGUUGUGAAAGUUUUCGGCUCAACCGUAAAAGUGCAAUUGAUACUGGCAGUCUUGAGUACAGUUGAGGUAGGCUGAAUUCGUUGUGUAGCGG
Molecule: ribosomal RNA, 346 nt
Filed under: uncultured bacterium
Lineage: Bacteria
Description: partial 16S ribosomal RNA
Rfam family: Bacterial small subunit ribosomal RNA
Source: RNAcentral